GAUGAGCGCUGGCGGCGUGCCUAAUACAUGCAAGUCGAGCGGUAACAGGUCUAGUUUACUAGAUGCUGACGAGCGGCGGACGGCUGAGUAACACGUAGGAACGUACCCCAAAGUAGAGGGAGUAACUGCUCGAAAGAAGUAGCUAAUACCGCAUGUGAUCUAAGGAUUAAAGACUUUAUUGCGCUUUGGGUAACGGCCUGCGUUCGAUUAGCUAGUUGGUGAGGUAAUAGCUCACCAAGGCGAUGAUCGAUAGCUGGUCUGAGAGGAUGAUCAGCCAGACUGGGACUGAGACACGGCCCAGACUCCUACGGGAGGCAGCAGUAGGGAAUUUUCCACAAUGGACGAAAGUCUGA
This 353-nucleotide ribosomal RNA is filed under the name uncultured bacterium. Its description in RNAcentral is "bacterial SSU rRNA". It matches the Rfam family "Bacterial small subunit ribosomal RNA", at positions 28 to 386 of the family's 1533-position model. The record is from RNAcentral.